Molecule: long non-coding RNA, 7329 nt
Organism: Callithrix jacchus (white-tufted-ear marmoset)
Lineage: Eukaryota; Metazoa; Chordata; Mammalia; Primates; Cebidae
Source: RefSeq, a predicted model, not a curated record
AUUAUUAUUAUUUUGAGACAGGAUGUUGCUCUGUCACCCAGCUGGAGUGCAGUGGUGGUGUCAUCUCAGCUCACUGCAACCUACACCUCCCAGAUUCAAGCCAUUCUCCUGCUUCAGCCUUCUGAGUAGCUAGGAUUACAGAAGAAUUUAUUUGAAUCUCUCUUUUCCUUGGCUAAGACGAAUGAAGAAGCAGGAGACUUGGGGGAUCCCCUUAACUGGAGAUAAUUACUGGGACAAAUCAGCCAGCACAAAGAGGAGACAAGUGUGGCUAUGACUGCUGCUGGGACCACGAUACUGUGAGAGACUUCGCAUAUUUAAAAGGAUGCUGAGAGAGGAGGAGGAAUGAUAAAUGAGCUCGGGAAGAUGUGAUGUCUUCUGUGAUGACACUAAUAGAUGGAAUACAGAAUUCAGCUCCAAUACUUACGGUUGGAAACUAAACAUAAACAAGCAGGCAAGGAAAAUGAAAAGGGAAUGUGUGUGUGUGUGUGUGUGUGUGUGUGUGUGUGUGUGUGUGUGUGUGGAGGUGUGGUAAGAGUAUAUAAAAUACAUUAAAAGAUAAAAAUCCAGAUGCUGCUAAAGGGACAAACAUAUAGGAAUUUUACAUUAGGGUUGUUCUGGUUUUCUUUUUCUUGCCUUAUUAAAAUUUAAUGAGAAACAAGUCUCCAGAUAUUUAUAUAGUCUGGGAGACCACUGGCAAGACAACAAGCUUAGCAUUAUAGGUGGUCCCCCAGCAGGAUCUAAAUCAGAGCCUUUCUAGUGGGCUGUUGGGCCAGGUGCAGCUGUAGACAAUGCAUCUUCCAGAGUAGGGUGAAACAACUCAAUGGACUGGUAAUGCAACAGGAGAUAGAAGGAAACCAUGCUCUCAGUAAAGCAUGGUGGGUCUUUUAAAAACAUUUAAAAAACAUUUUUAGGUCAGGCACAGAGGCUCACACCUGUAAUCCCAGAGCUUUGGGUGGCUAAAGCCUUCCAAAAGCAGGAUCCCUUGAGGCCAGAACUUCUAGACCAGCCUGGCCUAACAUAGCGAGACCCUAUCUCUACACAAAAUAAAAAUUAAUUAGCCAGACAGGUGGCAAGCACCUGUAGUCCCAACUACUCAAGAGGCUAAGGCAGGAGGAUCACUCGAAUCCAAGAAUUUGAGGUUGCAGUAAGCUAUGAUCAUGCCAUUGCACUCCAGCCUGGGUGACAGAGUGAGACUUCAGUUCUUAAAAAAAAAAAAAAUUGUGUUAUGCUUUUCAUUGCUGGGUUUUUAGAAGGAGGUUCUCAAGGUGUCAAUCCAGAGACGUUCUGUUCUAUUUGUCAGAAAUGCAAAAGAAUGGAGCAAAAUUCCAAAGAUAAAGGGAAAAAUAUGGCAAUCAGGAUAGCAAGAGCUGAGCAAAUGAUGUGAGUUUGAGGUGUUUUCUACUAAUUUGUUUUAACAUUGAGCUUUAAAAAAAAGUUCAGAUAGGAAAGCAUGGGGUGAAAUAUUGCCUGGUCUCCAAUUGAAACACAUGGGCAUGAGAUGUGGUGAAGUAUUGCUAAUGGGAUGGAAAACUGGGGUCGACCUGGUGUGUAGGAGCACAGCAUCCUGAGUCUCAUAAGUGAUCCAGGUUAAAGGGUCUCUAGCGUGACACUCUGAGUGCCUUAGAAGAGCUACCUGGCUUGAGUGCCACUCACAGGUACUUUUCUAUCCCCAGGUUGUCAGCUCUUCAGCUCUUUAGUCAUUCAACAGAUAUUUAUUGAUGGCCUACUAAAUGACAAGCCCUGGGUGAAGAGCUGUGAAAAAACCAGACAAAUGUCUCUGCCCUCAUGGGAUUCAUAAAAUAAAGGGUUAAGAAUAUAAGAGUAUUUUAUAAGAAUAGUCCAUGGUGGAAAACUGAAGCACAAGAAUUUUCUUCAUUGGUCUAUUGACCUAUGUAGUGACCCAUGUAGUGACUCCAGAUCAAAACCCAGAUCAUCCCAUUUACCUGCUUCCUGUUAUUGUAAAGCCUCUGCCAUCUGUUAUUACUUCUUACCAUCUCUCCUCUGAGACCUAUGAUCCAAGCCACAUAGCCUCUUUUAAAAAGUUGUAUUGAAGUACAAUUUUCAUACCAAAAAGUUCACCAAUUGUGAGUGUAUAAUUCAAUGAUUUUUAAUAAAUGUAUAGAGUUGUAUGGUCUCAUCAUCACAAUCCAGUUUUAGAACAUUUCUGCCAGCCUAAAAUGCUUCUUUGUGCCCAUUUGCAAUCAAUUCUGCUUCAACUUUCAACCCCAGGAAACCACUGAUCUGUUUUCCAUAUCUAUCGUUUUGCCUUUUCUGGACAUUUUAUAUCAAUGGAACCAAACAAUAUAGGUUGCUCAUUCCUUAUCCCAACAUCCAAAAUAGUCAAAAUGUGAAAUGUUUUGAGCAUGACAUGACACCAUAAAUAAGAACAAAAAAGAUGCCUGAUUUCAUUACACAUGCACACCACAAGUGGAAAAUUUCACACAUGACCUCAUUCACAUGAUGAGUUUCAGUCAGUCAAAAUGCAGGCAUGUCACAUACAGCUUAUUUAGCCUCCCCAAGAGAAAAUAGAGCCACCCAGCCCCCAUCAGCUGCAAUAUGUCUUUUCUACCCAAUGCCCAGAUUCCCACAUACAGGCACACUCACGAAGGGUGAUAAAUUGACAGGUGCAGGCCGAAUGUUCCAAUAGCAAGUUCCCCAUCAUGCCCCAGAGGAAGCCAAGAUGACAUGCAUAACUCACUGUGUUUUUUCGCUUAUUCUAUGCUCUGCAGUAUAAAGAUAUUGUUGAAAAUUUCAAAAGGUCUGCAUGUGGGUAAUAGUAAUAAGAAAAAAAGAACACAUUCAUGUUUGUCUGUAGAACAGACACUGAACAGCAGUGUAAGUGUGAAAUGUCUUACUGAAGGGUAUGGUGUUGGAAUGAUCACCAUGUAUGAAAACAAGGAUAAACUGUGGAAUUUUCAUGCUCAAAGUGAUGAGCAGAAUUUGUUAAAAAUAGGAAAACCCUGUAUACGGUUUAAAAUGAAGAUCUCGAUCGUGUAUUGAAAGAGUGGAUCCAUCAGCGUUGCAGUGAUCACAUGCCACUUAACUGUGCUGACGGUGAAGCAAGCAAAGCUCUAUCAGGGUACUGAAAAUGGAAUGGAAUUGUGAAUAUUCGACAAGCUGGCUGCAGAAAUUUAAGAAACGACGUGGCAUUGUAUUUUUAAAGAUUUGUAGUGAUAAAGCAUCUGCUGAUCAUGAAGCAGUGGAAAAAUUUAUUGACAAGUUUGCCAAUGUCAUCACUGAUUAAAAUCUGACACCAGAACAAGCUGAUAAUACUGAUGAAACACCACUCUUUUGGUGUUAUUUCCCCAGAAAGACAUUGCCUAUGACUGAUGAGACACCCCUAUAAGAAUUAAGGAAGCCAAGAACAGAAUAACUCUACUGGGAUGUGCUAAUGAAGCAGGCACAUGUUGGUAUAAACUUGCUGUGAUAGUCAAAAGCUUGCAUCCUCGACGUUUUCAAGAAGUGAAUUUCUUACCUGUCCAUUAUUAUGCUAACAAAGAGGCUUGUAUCGCAAGGAACAUCUUUUCUGAUUGGUUUCAAAAUGUUUUGUCCCAGUAGCUUGUGCUCACUGUAGGGAAGCUGGACUAGAUGAUAACUGGAAGCGUCUGUUAUUCCUUGACAACUGUUCUGCUCAUCCUCCAGCUGAAACUCUCAUCAAAAUAGUGUUUAUGCCAUGGACUUUCCCCCAGAUGUGACACAAUUAGUUGACCAUGUAUCCUUAGAUCAAUGAAAAGGAAACAUAUAAACUUUUUUUUAACAGCAUGCUAGCAGCAGUGAACAGAGGUGUCGGCGUGGAAGCUUUCCAGAAGAAGUUCACCAUGAUGGAUGCUGUGUGUGCUGUUGCCAAUGCUUGGAACGCAGUGAUUAAAGACACAGUUAUACGUUUCUGGCACAACCUCUGGCCUGCAAUGACGUUCAGUAAUGAUGAUGAACAAGGUGGGUGACUUUGAAGGAUUCCCUAUUUCAAGUGAGAAAAAAAUGAUAUCUAACCUCCUUACAUAUGCAAAAAAUAUAUCUUCAGAUGUAAGUUGGAAGAAGUAGAUAUUUCAGAUGUUUUGACAUUCAUAAUAAGCCUCUAGUUGUUCAUUCACUGAUUGAUGGUGAAAUAGCGGAAAUGGUUCCGAAUUGAGGUGAUGGCAACAAUAAUAACAACGAAGAUGACAUUACUAACACUGCACUGCACUGUCUAAGAGAACAUAGUGAAAACAUGCAACGGGCUUACUGAAGGACUAGAGCAGGGUGCAUUCACAAAAGAACAAUAAAUCAUGUCAGUUUAUAAAAUGAGAGAUUUUUAUGACAAAAAACACUGUUAGUGAGGCCGAUGACUUAAGGAAACAUUUUAAAAAUCUAUCCAGAAGAACGCCUCCUCAUUGCUAGGGCAUGCAUUUCCUGGUCCUUCAACUGCUUCUGAUGUUUCUUUUUUUUUACAAAAAAAAAAAAAAAAAAAAAAAACAAAAACAGAGUACAGUAACCUUUUAAUCAGAACACAGUACUGCAGGCGGAGACUCAAAGCCUGUUGUUUGUUGCUGCUGUUGUCUGACAGCUGCUACAGGGAUUCUGGUGAUGCUACUAUGCUUAGUUACCCUGAACACAUUUUUCAUGGUAUUAAAGAUAAAUCAUAUUUUUUUGCUGUUAAGUACUUAUGUGUGAAUAAGUAAAAGGACGUGAUUGCUUGUUGGUAGCAUUUACAUUUAGACUCAGGAAACGCAGUGAUGCCAAACAACCACAGAUUGUCCACAUGGAUGGCUGAGAUAGUGACACCUGUGCUUUCUGAUGAUUCAGUGUACCUUUAAGCUAUGUGUAUACGGUAUAUAUGAAACAUAAAUGAAUUUCGUGUUUAAACUUGGGUCCCAUCUCCAAGAUAUCUCAUUUUGUAUAUGCAUAUGUUCCAAAAUCUGAAAAAAAAAAUAUGAAAUGUGAAACACUUCUGGUUGCAAGAAUUUUGGUUAAGGAUGCUCAAUCUGCAUGUAUGUUUUGUAUGUGGCUUCUUUAACCUAGAAUAAUGUUUUUAAGGUUUAUCUAUGUUGCAGCAUAUAUCAAUAGUCUGCUACUUUUCAUUCUUUGAAUAGUAUUCCAUUGCAUGGACAUAGUAUAUUUUAUUUAUUCUUUCAUCAGUUGAUGAACACUUGGAUUAUUUUCAGUUUCGGGAUACUAAGACCAUGAAUACAUAAGCCUUUGCAUGGAAAUGUGUUUGCAUUUCUCUUGUGUAGAUAUCUAAUGUGGAAUUGCUAGGUUGUAUGGUAAAUAUGUGUUUAACUUUAUGAGAAGCUGCCAUGCUAUUUUCUAAAGUGGCUCCACCGUUUUCCAUUCCCAUACGUAUGAGAGUUCUAUUUCUCCACAUUCUCAUCAAUACUGAUUGUCGUCUGUCUUUUAAUUAUUGCUAUUCUAGUAAGAGUGUAAUUGUAUCUUAAUUUGGUUUUGGAUUUUAUCUCCAUAAUGACUAAUGAUUAGAGCAUUUUUUCCCAUGUGUUUAUUAGUUAUUCCUGUAUUUUAUUUGGAGAAAUGUCUAUUUAACUUUUUUGGUCAUUUUUUUUCUUUUUUCUCUUGUUUUCAGUUUUUGUUUUUUUUGGUUUAUUUUUCAGAGACAGGGUCUCACUCUGUUGCCCAGGCUGGAGUGCAGUGGCAUGAUCAUAGCUAACUGAAACCUUGAACUCCUGGGCUCAAACAGUCUCUCACCUCAAACUCCAAGUAGCUAGGACUACAGGUCCCUGCCACCAUACCCAGCUAAUUAAAAAAUUUUUUUGAGAUAGGGUCUUGUUAUGUAGUCUAGGCUGGUCUCAAACUUCAGGCCUCAAGUGAUCCUCCCACCUUGGCCUCCGAAAGCACAGGCAUUACAGGUGUGAGCCACCAUGAGCGUGAGCCACCAACCUUUUGGCCAUUUUUUAAUUAGGCUGCUUGUCUUCUUGUUAUUGAGUUUUAUUAGUUAUUUGUGUAUUCUGGAUACAAUUUCCUUCAUCAGAUGCAUGAUUCACAAACUUUUCUCCAGUUUUUGCCUUCCCCUUUCAUUGUCUAAUGUUACAUUUUAGAAGAGCAAAAACUUUAAUUUUGUUUAAGCUUUGUCUUUUCUGGAUUAUGCUUUUGUUUUCUUAUCUAAGAAGUAUUUGCCUAAUCAAUGCCACUGUUUUUUCCCUGUUUACUUCUAAAAGUUUUACGAUUUUACUUAGACAUUAAGUUUUGAAUUAAUUUUUGUGUAUAUUAUGAGGUGUCUAUAUUCUUUUUUCUUUAUGUUUUGCAUAUGAAUAUCUAACUGUCUCAGAACCAUUAGUUGAAAGACUGUUCUUGCCUGAAUUGAAUUGCCCUAACAAUUGCCAAAAAUCAAUUUACCGUAAAUAAAAGAAUUUAUUUCUGGACUCUCAAUUCUAUUCUAUUGAUCUGUGUACCUAUCCUAUGCCAAUACCAUAUUGUCUUGAUUAUUGUAGCUUUAUCUUAACUUUGAAAUUGGUGAGCAUAACUUCUCCAACUUUGUUAUUUCUCAAGAUUAUUACAGCUAUUCUAGGUUCUUGGCAUUUUCAUAUGCAUUUUAGAAUGAGCUUAUCAAUGUCUACCAAAGAAAUUGCUCUGCUAGAAAUUUUAUAGAGAUCAUGUUGAAUCUAUACAUCAUUCUAGGGAGAAUUACUAUCUCAAAAAAGAUUGAAUCUCCAAUUUAUUAACAUGAAACAUAACUCCAUGUAUUUAGCGAUGUUUCCUAGUUUUCACUGUACAAAUCCUGUCCUUGUAUUUAUUUUGUUAAAUUUAUUUCUAAGUAUUUUAUUCAUUUUGAUGCUAUUGUUAAUGAAAUUUUCUUAAUUUCAUUUUUGGGUUUUUCUCUGCUAAAACGAUUGACCCUUGAACAACACAAGGGAUUAGGGGCACCAACCCCUGCACAUUCAAAAAUUGGCAUAUAGCUCACUGUUGACCAAAGCCUUACUGACAUAAACAGUCAUUAAUACAUAUUUUAUAUGUAUUAGAUACUGUAUUCUUACAAGAAAGUAAGCUAGAAAAAAGAAAAUAUUACUAGGAAAACAAAAAAGAAGAGAAAAUUAUCUUUAUUCUUCAUUAAGUGAAUCAUCAUCAUAAAAGUCUUUAUCCUUGUCAUUUUCAUGAGUAGGCUGAGGAGGAAUAGGAAGAGGAGGAGUUAAUCUCACAGUCUCAGGGGUGGCAGAGACAGAAGAAAGGCUGUGUAUUAAGUAAUAGAAAUCUGUGUUGUUCAAGGAUCAACUGUAUAUGAAAUACAACUGAUAUUUGUAGAUUGGUCCUGUAUCCUGCAGCCUUGCUAAAUUUAUUAGUACUAAUAGAUUUUUUUUAAUGUGUGGAUUUAUUGGGAUUUCUUUUUUGCAUACAAGAUUACGU